Pezoporus occidentalis (night parrot) is the source of this 2409-nucleotide long non-coding RNA. RefSeq lists it as uncharacterized. The record is from RefSeq and is a predicted model, not a curated record. The transcript has 2 exons. Lineage: Eukaryota; Metazoa; Chordata; Aves; Psittaciformes; Psittacidae.
GAGAGCAGCCGCCCUUGGACCUCGGGUCCCCGGGUGAUGGUGGAUUCUUAACGCGCUCGUUGAGACCCUUUCUAUCAUCGUUUUGCUCCAAGUGCGCCUCUCCCAAAACGAAGUUGCCUGCUGGAAACUGGCGGCCUGAACAGGAGGAGGACGAGGUUCAUUAAAUCCCAGCUAAUGUUGGGGUCGGCUGCAGCUGGAGGGUCUGCUCAGCCCAGGGAGCCCCCGGGAACAGUGACAGAAAGGGGGAUGCAGGAGGUUGGCAAUUCUGCAUCUCUAGUAACACCCAGAGCCACUCUGAAUCGUGCAGUAGCCAAAUGAAUUCAGCUGAGCUUUGGGAAGAUGGAGACGUUGAGAGAUGGUGUCUCCAUAUAUGUAAAUAUGUCCAUACAUAUAUAUUCUGUGUGCAUAUGUGUUUGCUUUUACACAGCACCCACAGUCUGAGGAAAAAGCAAAAAUCAUCAGCAAAUGGUGCUGUAUCCUGCAGUGACUUCUGCAGACUUGCAUCCCGACUGGGAAGAGCUGCAUUUGAGCUAACGGGAAGAGAGAACACUGGGAGUGGCAGCACAGAAUGGGAAUGUUGUAAAAUGGGGAAAGCUUUUGAAAUGAGAUUAAGGAAAACCAGACGAAAGCUCACAUGGCUCAAAGAGAUACUAGAUUUGUUAGAACACUGCAGAAAAGAAGAGGAAAGCAAGGGGCGUGCUGCUUUCUCCCAUACAGCAAACUGAAGAAACACCUUCAACAGCACUUCCACCGGGCUCGGCUGCUUCUGAAACCUGAGUUCUUAAUGGCUGGAUAGCUCAGGUCAGAUGCUGAAAGGAUCUUAAAUAUCUUUUAUCACAGUUAAAACUCUGGCCUCUUCCCUCAUCUUCAUCCCUUGAGGUGUCUGAUUCACCAAAUCGCUUAUUUUUUAAACACGCACAGGUUUUUCCUUCACCACAGGCAGCAGCAUUGCCCCAUCAACCACUGAGUCCCAUGACACCGCUCCUGUGUGGUUUGGAAAGCUCAGUCCCGCUCCAUCAGAAGGGGAGAGAAAACAUAAAGAAGGAAAAUAAUUAAACAGUCUGCCCCAAAAUCAAACAAAUUCUUGGAAAGAGGCAGAGAUGCAGGUGACAUGAGCCAAAAUCCAAGGCAGUCCCAGCAUCACAUGAUGGGAAGUGAGAUUUAGGAAAGCAUGGAAGAGCCGACAGUAGGGAAGCCACCAGUAUGAACCGUCUCUGCAAAACAGUGGAACAGGAUCUAAAAUACCUUGACUAUGCUUUGGACAGAGGAAACUGUUCUGUAAUAACAAGAGAUUCAAAAGUUCACAGUUGAUUUCAGAGUGCUCCAGCCAUGCACAGGCCAGGGAUGUGCCCCAGUCCCAGGGACAGACCUCCCUGAACUGCAUUUUCCAUAUGAACUGUGGCUGUGCUGUUGUACACUGCAGAUUGUAUUUAGACAGCUACAAUCGUGGGCAAAACUGAGAGAAAUCUCCACAUUUAACAAGGGGCAGUGACCUUCACCAAGUGAUACCUCCUUCACUGGAGAUAAUCCUUCCUCCUGAGUCACACAGUAACCAUGGGGCUGAAGGACAGAUAUCUGGAUGUUUUCUCUCUCUAGAUGAUCUUAAGACCCUUUCCAACCCUAACUAUUCUCUAAUUCUUUUGCAAGGCCUCAGAGCCCCAUUGAGGGAAAACCCAGGUGCACCCUUCACAGGGCACAGACUAGAAGUAGCAUUCACAUUAACCCAGUGCCCCAGGGUUACACAGCACACCCACUGUUCCCACUCAUGGCAAAAUGAACAUCAGUUUGUAUUUAGCUGUUUGGUUUUGCAAAACUUAUCUCUUGUUACCUCCUUACCAAAUGGAAGUCUCUAUUGCAGCAAUGGCAAGUGAAGUAAGCAGGGCUCAGAACCAGACACCCAAAGCAAGCAAGGAUGGAUGCAUCUUCAUAAGGCAUCCAUUCAUUCCUAACUUUUGCAUCAAAUUAUAGACAGAGCAGAGCCACCGACCACAAAAACAUCACAUGUCACCAGUGUCAUGGAGAGUGUUUGUUGGCUUUCACGUGUAAGGUCCUCCUUAAAAUAAGCAUGAGAAAACUGUACUGGUUGUACAUGACUUAGCAUGCAGAUGCCUUGCAUAAUCAAUCAUUCCUCCUGACAUCCUGUAAGACUACAGGACUGUGGUUCAAAAUCCAAACUGUGAGAAAAUCCCAGAAAAUGCUCCCUAAACUCUUCUGCAAUACAGUUCCCAUGGAAUACCACCAGUCUUGUUUCCGCAUGCUUAAAAUGGCAACUGGACAGAAUACAUGUCAUAUGUAUGUUCAAUAUUAGAGAUCUUGUAAAAUGAAUUUCCUAUAAUCUAAACAUCACAUGAUCUUUAUAAAUAUGUUUUGCUAUAAUGAUCAAAUCAUCAAAACACAACUAGGGAGCAA